RNAcentral lists this ribosomal RNA (433 nucleotides) under uncultured bacterium. RNAcentral's name for it is "partial 16S ribosomal RNA". It matches the Rfam family "Bacterial small subunit ribosomal RNA", at positions 29 to 507 of the family's 1533-position model. The record is from RNAcentral.
AACGAACGCUGGCGGCAUGCCUAACACACGCAAGUCGAACGAGACCUUCGGGUCUAGUGGCGCACGGGUGCGUAACGCGUGGGAACCUGCCCUUAGGUUCGGAAUAACUCCCCGAAAGGGGUGCUAAUACCGGAUAAUGUCUUCGGACCAAAGAUUUAUCGCCUUUGGAUGGGCCCGCGUUGGAUUAGCUAGUUGGUAGGGUAAAAGUCUACCAAGGCGACGAUCCAUAGCUGGUCUGAGAGGAUGAUCAGCCACACUGGGACUGAGACACGGCCCAGACUCCUACGGGAGGCAGCAGUGGGGAAUAUUGGACAAUGGGCGAAAGCCUGAUCCAGCAAUGCCGCGUGAGUGAUGAAGGCCUUAGGGUUGUAAAGCUCUUUUACCCGGGAUGAUAAUGACAGUACCGGGAGAAUAAGCUCCGGCUAACUCCGUG